AUUCUUUCGCAGAGGCGAUAUCAUAACCUGUGAGGUCCAGCUGAGGAGUGAUUAUUGCUGGUUGAAAACUUAUCCCAAAACCCUGCUUGGAAUGACUUGAAAUAU
This 105-nucleotide small nuclear RNA is filed under the name Salmo salar (Atlantic salmon). Its description in RNAcentral is "U4 spliceosomal RNA". It matches the Rfam family "U4 spliceosomal RNA", at positions 1 to 105 of the family's 138-position model. From Rfam's summary of the family: U4 small nuclear RNA (U4 snRNA) is a component of the major U2-dependent spliceosome. The structure of U4 snRNA from yeast and human has been reported. Lineage: Eukaryota; Metazoa; Chordata; Actinopteri; Salmoniformes; Salmonidae. The record is from Rfam by way of RNAcentral.